RNAcentral lists this ribosomal RNA (459 nucleotides) under uncultured bacterium. RNAcentral's name for it is "partial 16S ribosomal RNA". It matches the Rfam family "Bacterial small subunit ribosomal RNA", at positions 338 to 795 of the family's 1533-position model. The record is from RNAcentral.
CCUACGGGAGGCAGCAGUGAGGAAUAUUGGUCAAUGGGCGCGAGCCUGAACCAGCCAAGCCGCGUGAGGGAAGACGGUACUAAGGAUUGUAAACCUCUUUUGUCAGGGAGCAAAAGCCGCCACGCGUGGCCUUCCGAGAGUACCCGAAGAAAAAGCAUCGGCUAACUCCGUGCCAGCAGCCGCGGUAAUACGGAGGAUGCGAGCGUUAUCCGGAUUUAUUGGGUUUAAAGGGUGCGCAGGCGGUAGAUGAAGUCAGCGGUAAAAGUGCGGGGCUCAACCCCGUCGAGCCGUUGAAACUGGUAGUCUUGAGUGAGAGAGAAGUAUGCGGAAUGCGUGGUGUAGCGGUGAAAUGCAUAGAUAUCACGCAGAACUCCGAUUGCGAAGGCAGCAUACCGGCGCUCAACUGACGCUCAGGCACGAAAGUGUGGGUAUCGAACAGGAUUAGAUACCCCAGUAGUC